UCAAGACCAAAAUGUAGACUAUUAUAAGAUAAAACAUACAUUACAUAUAUAAAACUUGGUUAUAAAUAUGUUUUACAUACCUUUAAAGAACCAAAAUGUAGUUUCAUGUAGAAAAUAAUUGUUUUCCUUAAGUUAAUUCGCCGAUAUACACCGAUUAGUUGACCGAGUAUUUGCCAGACGUUUGAUCAAUGAUUAUAGCUUAAUUCGCGUUUCAGAAACCCAAAAUGGCGGUUAACAUACGAUUCCAGAGUCAAAUUUGACAGUUAUGUCAACUGACAGUAUGAUUAAAUUAAGUAGUUAACCAUGCUUUUAGCAACUCAUUUCAUGCUUAACAAGAGAUUUGACAGAUGAUUUGUUAAUUUCUGCAUUGAUCAGCCUUUCGGAAACCGGGCGUUAAUGUAUAAAAUAU
Melitaea cinxia (Glanville fritillary) is the source of this 409-nucleotide long non-coding RNA. RefSeq lists it as uncharacterized. The record is from RefSeq and is a predicted model, not a curated record. Lineage: Eukaryota; Metazoa; Arthropoda; Insecta; Lepidoptera; Nymphalidae. The transcript is spliced from 3 exons.